This 2924-nucleotide ribosomal RNA is filed under the name Escherichia coli 96.0497. RNAcentral's name for it is "bacterial LSU rRNA". It matches the Rfam family "Bacterial large subunit ribosomal RNA". The record is from RNAcentral. Lineage: Bacteria; Pseudomonadati; Pseudomonadota; Gammaproteobacteria; Enterobacterales; Enterobacteriaceae.
GAAACAUCUUCGGGUUGUGAGGUUAAGCGACUAAGCGUACACGGUGGAUGCCCUGGCAGUCAGAGGCGAUGAAGGACGUGCUAAUCUGCGAUAAGCGUCGGUAAGGUGAUAUGAACCGUUAUAACCGGCGAUUUCCGAAUGGGGAAACCCAGUGUGUUUCGACACACUAUCAUUAACUGAAUCCAUAGGUUAAUGAGGCGAACCGGGGGAACUGAAACAUCUAAGUACCCCGAGGAAAAGAAAUCAACCGAGAUUCCCCCAGUAGCGGCGAGCGAACGGGGAGGAGCCCAGAGCCUGAAUCAGUGUGUGUGUUAGUGGAAGCGUCUGGAAAGGCGCGCGAUACAGGGUGACAGCCCCGUACACAAAAAUGCACAUGCUGUGAGCUCGAUGAGUAGGGCGGGACACGUGGUAUCCUGUCUGAAUAUGGGGGGACCAUCCUCCAAGGCUAAAUACUCCUGACUGACCGAUAGUGAACCAGUACCGUGAGGGAAAGGCGAAAAGAACCCCGGCGAGGGGAGUGAAAAAGAACCUGAAACCGUGUACGUACAAGCAGUGGGAGCACGCUUAGGCGUGUGACUGCGUACCUUUUGUAUAAUGGGUCAGCGACUUAUAUUCUGUAGCAAGGUUAACCGAAUAGGGGAGCCGAAGGGAAACCGAGUCUUAACUGGGCGUUAAGUUGCAGGGUAUAGACCCGAAACCCGGUGAUCUAGCCAUGGGCAGGUUGAAGGUUGGGUAACACUAACUGGAGGACCGAACCGACUAAUGUUGAAAAAUUAGCGGAUGACUUGUGGCUGGGGGUGAAAGGCCAAUCAAACCGGGAGAUAGCUGGUUCUCCCCGAAAGCUAUUUAGGUAGCGCCUCGUGAAUUCAUCUCCGGGGGUAGAGCACUGUUUCGGCAAGGGGGUCAUCCCGACUUACCAACCCGAUGCAAACUGCGAAUACCGGAGAAUGUUAUCACGGGAGACACACGGCGGGUGCUAACGUCCGUCGUGAAGAGGGAAACAACCCAGACCGCCAGCUAAGGUCCCAAAGUCAUGGUUAAGUGGGAAACGAUGUGGGAAGGCCCAGACAGCCAGGAUGUUGGCUUAGAAGCAGCCAUCAUUUAAAGAAAGCGUAAUAGCUCACUGGUCGAGUCGGCCUGCGCGGAAGAUGUAACGGGGCUAAACCAUGCACCGAAGCUGCGGCAGCGACGCUUAUGCGUUGUUGGGUAGGGGAGCGUUCUGUAAGCCUGUGAAGGUGUACUGUGAGGUAUGCUGGAGGUAUCAGAAGUGCGAAUGCUGACAUAAGUAACGAUAAAGCGGGUGAAAAGCCCGCUCGCCGGAAGACCAAGGGUUCCUGUCCAACGUUAAUCGGGGCAGGGUGAGUCGACCCCUAAGGCGAGGCCGAAAGGCGUAGUCGAUGGGAAACAGGUUAAUAUUCCUGUACUUGGUGUUACUGCGAAGGGGGGACGGAGAAGGCUAUGUUGGCCGGGCGACGGUUGUCCCGGUUUAAGCGUGUAGGCUGGUUUUCCAGGCAAAUCCGGAAAAUCAAGGCUGAGGCGUGAUGACGAGGCACUACGGUGCUGAAGCAACAAAUGCCCUGCUUCCAGGAAAAGCCUCUAAGCAUCAGGUAACAUCAAAUCGUACCCCAAACCGACACAGGUGGUCAGGUAGAGAAUACCAAGGCGCUUGAGAGAACUCGGGUGAAGGAACUAGGCAAAAUGGUGCCGUAACUUCGGGAGAAGGCACGCUGAUAUGUAGGUGAAGUCCCUCGCGGAUGGAGCUGAAAUCAGUCGAAGAUACCAGCUGGCUGCAACUGUUUAUUAAAAACACAGCACUGUGCAAACACGAAAGUGGACGUAUACGGUGUGACGCCUGCCCGGUGCCGGAAGGUUAAUUGAUGGGGUUAGCGCAAGCGAAGCUCUUGAUCGAAGCCCCGGUAAACGGCGGCCGUAACUAUAACGGUCCUAAGGUAGCGAAAUUCCUUGUCGGGUAAGUUCCGACCUGCACGAAUGGCGUAAUGAUGGCCAGGCUGUCUCCACCCGAGACUCAGUGAAAUUGAACUCGCUGUGAAGAUGCAGUGUACCCGCGGCAAGACGGAAAGACCCCGUGAACCUUUACUAUAGCUUGACACUGAACAUUGAGCCUUGAUGUGUAGGAUAGGUGGGAGGCUUUGAAGUGUGGACGCCAGUCUGCAUGGAGCCGACCUUGAAAUACCACCCUUUAAUGUUUGAUGUUCUAACGUUGACCCGUAAUCCGGGUUGCGGACAGUGUCUGGUGGGUAGUUUGACUGGGGCGGUCUCCUCCUAAAGAGUAACGGAGGAGCACGAAGGUUGGCUAAUCCUGGUCGGACAUCAGGAGGUUAGUGCAAUGGCAUAAGCCAGCUUGACUGCGAGCGUGACGGCGCGAGCAGGUGCGAAAGCAGGUCAUAGUGAUCCGGUGGUUCUGAAUGGAAGGGCCAUCGCUCAACGGAUAAAAGGUACUCCGGGGAUAACAGGCUGAUACCGCCCAAGAGUUCAUAUCGACGGCGGUGUUUGGCACCUCGAUGUCGGCUCAUCACAUCCUGGGGCUGAAGUAGGUCCCAAGGGUAUGGCUGUUCGCCAUUUAAAGUGGUACGCGAGCUGGGUUUAGAACGUCGUGAGACAGUUCGGUCCCUAUCUGCCGUGGGCGCUGGAGAACUGAGGGGGGCUGCUCCUAGUACGAGAGGACCGGAGUGGACGCAUCACUGGUGUUCGGGUUGUCAUGCCAAUGGCACUGCCCGGUAGCUAAAUGCGGAAGAGAUAAGUGCUGAAAGCAUCUAAGCACGAAACUUGCCCCGAGAUGAGUUCUCCCUGACUCCUUGAGAGUCCUGAAGGAACGUUGAAGACGACGACGUUGAUAGGCCGGGUGUGUAAGCGCAGCGAUGCGUUGAGCUAACCGGUACUAAUGAACCGUGAGGCUUAACCUU